Non-coding RNA from Drosophila melanogaster (fruit fly), 342 nucleotides. The record is from Ensembl. NCBI's taxonomy places the organism in Eukaryota, Metazoa, Arthropoda, Insecta, Diptera, Drosophilidae.
UGCAUGCGUAAAUGAAUAUAGGCAGGAGCUGGAGCAAAAGGACGCUGGAAUUGAAAGUGGAACAAGUGCUCAGCCAGAGACAUGCACAGAUACACUUUAUGAACUACAACCGAAAUCCAAUUGAUUGUGCAGGCAAAGAGUCUCUGCCUGAGUCUACCAUUUUGGCAGGCCAAGUGCUUUGGUAGUCGGGAUGGAGUCUGAGUUGAUUGUGGCACGAAUUGUGGCCUCAGAGGCCACAGGAUUCACAAAUGAAAAUUCGAGCAACGCGUGGGCGGCAGGCCGCAAAGGAAAAUGGAAAACAGGAUGAGCAAGAGCGGAAUCUACAGCUUAGCACGAUAAUUU